GAUGAAGAACGUAGCGAAAUGCGAUAAGUAAUGCGAAUUGCAGAAUUCAGUGAGUCAUCGAAUCUUUGAACGCACAUUGCGCCCUGUGGUAUUCCGCAGGGCAUGCCUGUUCGAGCGUCAUUUCAACCCUCAAGCCUCGCUUGGUGUUGGGCCCUGCCCGCCGCGGCCGGCCCUAAAGAUAGUGGCGGCGCCGCCUGGCCCUCAGCGUAGUACAGCUCUCGCUCCAGGGUCCGGCGGCAGCAUGCCAGAACCCCCCAACUCUGUGGUUGACCUCGGAUCAGGUAGGGAUACCCGCUGAACUUAAGCAUAUCAAUAAGCGGAGGA
RNAcentral lists this unclassified non-coding RNA (324 nucleotides) under soil metagenome. Its description in RNAcentral is "partial contains 5.8S ribosomal RNA, internal transcribed spacer 2, and large subunit ribosomal RNA". The stretch from base 1 to 120 matches the Rfam family "5.8S ribosomal RNA", at positions 35 to 154 of the family's 154-position model. The record is from RNAcentral.